AAAUUGAAGAGUUUGAUCAUGGCUCAGAUUGAACGCUGGCGGCAGGCCUAACACAUGCAAGUCGAGCGGAAACGAGUUAUCUGAACCUUUGGGGGACGAUAACGGCGUCGAGCGGCGGACGGGUGAGUAAUGCCUAGGAAAUUGCCCUGAUGUGGGGGAUAACCAUUGGAAACGAUGGCUAAUACCGCAUGAUGCCUACGGGCCAAAGAGGGGGACCUUCGGGCCUCUCGCGUCAGGAUAUGCCUAGGUGGGAUUAGCUAGUUGGUGAGGUAAGGGCUCACCAAGGCGACGAUCCCUAGCUGGUCUGAGAGGAUGAUCAGCCACACUGGAACUGAGACACGGUCCAGACUCCUACGGGAGGCAGCAGUGGGGAAUAUUGCACAAUGGGCGCAAGCCUGAUGCAGCCAUGCCGCGUGUGUGAAGAAGGCCUUCGGGUUGUAAAGCACUUUCAGUCGUGAGGAAGGCGGCGUCGUUAAUAGCGGCGUUGUUUGACGUUAGCGACAGAAGAAGCACCGGCUAACUCCGUGCCAGCAGCCGCGGUAAUACGGAGGGUGCGAGCGUUAAUCGGAAUUACUGGGCGUAAAGCGCAUGCAGGUGGUUUGUUAAGUCAGAUGUGAAAGCCCGGGGCUCAACCUCGGAAUUGCAUUUGAAACUGGCAGACUAGAGUACUGUAGAGGGGGGUAGAAUUUCAGGUGUAGCGGUGAAAUGCGUAGAGAUCUGAAGGAAUACCGGUGGCGAAGGCGGCCCCCUGGACAGAUACUGACACUC
RNAcentral lists this ribosomal RNA (768 nucleotides) under Vibrio parahaemolyticus. RNAcentral's name for it is "bacterial SSU rRNA". It matches the Rfam family "Bacterial small subunit ribosomal RNA", at positions 1 to 748 of the family's 1533-position model. The record is from RNAcentral. Lineage: Bacteria; Pseudomonadati; Pseudomonadota; Gammaproteobacteria; Vibrionales; Vibrionaceae.